CCUACGGGAGGCAGCAGUAAGGAAUAUUGGACAAUGCCCGCAAGGGUGAUCCAGCCAUACCGCGUGCAGGAAGACGGCCCUAUGGGUUGUAAACUGCUUUUAUACAAGAGAAAACCUCCCUACGUGUAGGGAGCUGAUAGUAUUGUAGGAAUAAGCAUCGGCUAACUUCGUGCCAGCAGCCGCGGUAAGACGAAGGAUGCAAGCGUUAUCCGGAUUCAUUGGGUUUAAAGGAGCGUAGGCGGUCUUAUAAGUCAGUGGUGAAAGCUCCUCGCUUAACGAGGAAAUUGCCAUUGAUACUGUAGGACUUGAGUACAGUUGCUGUGGGCGAAUAUGACAUGUAGUGGUGAAAUACAUAGAUAUGUCAUAGAACACCGAUUGCGAAGGCAGCUCACAAAACUGUAAACUGACGCUGAGGCUCGAAAGUGCGGGGAUCAAACAGGAUUAGAUACCCUGGUAGUCCGCACUGUAAACGAUGAUUACUCGCUGNGUGGUAGUACGUUACUAGUGUCGUAGACGAAGAGAGUAAGUAAGUACGACCGUACGGAGGUACGACCGGACGACGUACGAACGUACGAAGAGUAGUAGACGAGAGAGAGCGACGGACGGACGACGAGGAGGGAGGNG
RNAcentral lists this ribosomal RNA (624 nucleotides) under uncultured bacterium. Its description in RNAcentral is "bacterial SSU rRNA". The stretch from base 1 to 538 matches the Rfam family "Bacterial small subunit ribosomal RNA", at positions 338 to 873 of the family's 1533-position model. The record is from RNAcentral.